AUAAUUUAUAAACUCAUACUUGAAAUCUUUUUAUCUACAAUUUUUUCCUUCAAUUUUUAUUUAUUUUUAUUUUUUAGGCAAAGGAUUGAACAAAGCACUUGGAAAGUUUCUAUGGUAGCACACAUGCAUCAUUCUCAUACCCCCCUCCCCUCUCUCUCUCCCCAUCGGCGUCUCACACAAACACACGAGUGCCACCACCAACCACUGUUCCUCCGACUCAGAAACAUGAACGCAUCUUUGGCAUUUGGAGUUUGAUUCGCCUCCAUAAAUCCGCCGCUGCCGCCGUUGGCCUUGGCAUCUUCGACGACAAAUUUCUUCUAUGGCGAGGUCGUUCGAUUUCGAUUUCUUUUUUAAAUUACACAAAUCCAGAUCUCUCCUUUCUCAUUCACCAGGUUUGGGCAAUCGCAGACUCCAAACGACAAGGAUUUCUAGGCUUUAAGGAGUUCAUUACUACGAUUCAGAUGACAGAGAGGUUAUAAAACCACCAUUGAUGGAAGGUUUGGAUGACUUGUUAGCAAAGCAUAAGGGUUCUAAAAGCAAUGACAAUUAUGAGGCAAAUGGAAGUACUAUGCUACAACCAUCUUUGUCAGUAAAUUUGUUUAUAUCAAAAUCUACCAAGAAGUUCGAGGACAGGAAGGGCCAGGCUACCUGCGAGUCGUAAUCGACCACCGAUCCCAAAUGGUACCCCAAGGGAGGAGAAGGGGAACAUCCAAUGGUUCAGCUUCAAUCUGACUAGC
Non-coding RNA from Camellia sinensis, 737 nucleotides. The record is from RefSeq and is a predicted model, not a curated record. Lineage: Eukaryota; Viridiplantae; Streptophyta; Magnoliopsida; Ericales; Theaceae.